CUUCCAGGUGUCUUUUGGGCUGGCAAUAGAGAAUGGGAUCUUGGUGCCACACAGCGAGCCUUCCUUGACAAAGGAAACAAAAGCAGCGUUUUCAUGUCACACAGAGUCAUUUCAUUACUGUGCUGCUGUUUACUUUUUCCGCGAUCACCAUGUUCUCCACCCCCAGGCAUGCACAAUACCUUUGGGUCUCCCUGCUUGCAUAAAUGAGAAAGAAGAAAGGUGACUCAGUCCUGUGCCUUUCAACAUACAAGAAAAAGCAGCCUUUUCUCACUGAUGUGGGAAAUCUGGGGCAGAUUCUCUGAAGAGUCCCGGCUUGGCUCUCUAGCAAACGGGAAACAGCCCUGAGGAGAGGCGACUGCCUGGACGGGGGAAACAAGCCAAACUAAACAAGGGAACGGCAGACUGCUUAUUUUUCAGGGAGAACUGGAAAAACGGGGACCUGAAGACUAGACUAAUGAUGGCUACAUUUUUUAAAACAAGAACAGUCUCUUUGGUCUGUGAUCUUGGCAUAUGCAUCAAAGCUGCUGUUGGCAUUUUCCAGAACAACAGGAUUUUACUCAUGUACUAAAUGAGGGCUGUGGAGCAGCAGAUACGCUUGCCCAGAUGAGGCGAUGGCUGUCAGCUGAGCCAGCUGAGAUGGGAGCACUGCUUAAGUGAGGGCUGCUCCUCAUCCUGCGGCAGCUGGCCAGCACCUUUUGCGUGAAGGACUUGGUCCUGAACCAAGGGCUUGCGAAAGACGUGCGGAAGUGGUGAGCUGAAAGGAGGAGGUGAGCACCAGGACUUAGCUACUUUUGAACGACUGCAUCUUCUGCAUGCUUUGAGCCUUGUCCUGAGGUCUGAAAGUAUUUCUUGCCUCCCCUUGGUCUGUCUCUGAAGGUUUAAAUGAAUAAGCACAGAGAGCUUCAGUAUAGGCACUCAGAGUGUAUAAAAGCAACCUGCAUGGUAUGGAGGCGGUGCCAG
This is a long non-coding RNA of Dromaius novaehollandiae (emu), 960 nucleotides long. RefSeq lists it as uncharacterized. Lineage: Eukaryota; Metazoa; Chordata; Aves; Casuariiformes; Dromaiidae. The record is from RefSeq and is a predicted model, not a curated record. The transcript has 4 exons.